This 495-nucleotide ribosomal RNA is filed under the name uncultured bacterium. Its description in RNAcentral is "partial 16S ribosomal RNA". It matches the Rfam family "Bacterial small subunit ribosomal RNA", at positions 28 to 507 of the family's 1533-position model. The record is from RNAcentral.
GACGAACGCUGGCGGCGUGCCUAAUACAUGCAAGUAGAACGCUGAAGGAGGAGCUUGCUUCUCUGGAUGAGUUGCGAACGGGUGAGUAACGCGUAGGUAACCUGCCUGGUAGCGGGGGAUAACUAUUGGAAACGAUAGCUAAUACCGCAUAAGAGUAGAUGUCGCAUGACAUUUGCUUAAAAGGUGCAAUUGCAUCACUACCAGAUGGACCUGCGUUGUAUUAGCUAGUUGGUGAGGUAACGGCUCACCAAGGCAACGAUACAUAGCCGACCUGAGAGGGUGAUCGGCCACACUGGGACUGAGACACGGCCCAGACUCCUACGGGAGGCAGCAGUAGGGAAUCUUCGGCAAUGGACGGAAGUCUGACCGAGCAACGCCGCGUGAGUGAAGAAGGUUUUCGGAUCGUAAAGCUCUGUUGUAAGAGAAGAACGAGUGUGAGAGUGGAAAGUUCACACUGUGACGGUAUCUUACCAGAAAGAGACGGCUAACUACGUG